Myotis brandtii (Brandt's bat) is the source of this 209-nucleotide long non-coding RNA. RefSeq lists it as uncharacterized. The transcript has 3 exons. The record is from RefSeq and is a predicted model, not a curated record. NCBI's taxonomy places the organism in Eukaryota, Metazoa, Chordata, Mammalia, Chiroptera, Vespertilionidae.
AGAAUGAAAAAUUGUGGGUAGCUAAGAGUUGGUAAACAAGUCCAAGAUCCCAAAGGAGUAUCCAUCAUGGAAAGUGUAAAUCUACAGUUUGAUAUAUGCAACUAGAUCUUUAUACAUGACUUAAGGAAUGUGUCCACCCCCAGGUCAGUGCCAUUUAAAGUAUGUGCUCCCAUUCUGGUCCCACACUUGAGAUGGUUCCCAGUUACAGC